Molecule: non-coding RNA, 171 nt
Organism: Mesorhizobium metallidurans STM 2683
Lineage: Bacteria; Pseudomonadati; Pseudomonadota; Alphaproteobacteria; Hyphomicrobiales; Phyllobacteriaceae
Source: Rfam
GUCGCCGCGAGGCGGGGUCUGAAGGAAGCGUGGAGCAAACCCGCGACCCGAUGGACAAGAACCGGAUAUGAGGCCUACCCGGCCGGACGAGCGGGCCAAUGACCGCGAAGUCCAUGGUCACCAAGGACCGGGGUGGUAAAUUCGGCGGGUGUGCGGGGAAGGCGGUCGAUC